Long non-coding RNA from Mytilus californianus (California mussel), 1453 nucleotides. RefSeq lists it as uncharacterized. The transcript is spliced from 4 exons. The record is from RefSeq and is a predicted model, not a curated record. Lineage: Eukaryota; Metazoa; Mollusca; Bivalvia; Mytilida; Mytilidae.
UAUAUGAAUUCUUCUUUUUUUAUAGGUCUACUACAUAGUUGAUACUGUAGGACAGGCUACAGAAAUAAGAAAACUGGUCUCUCUCAUCAACAAUAGUGUGGCAAUUCUAAAAUUUCAACAUGCGGCCUACACAGCUAGCUCAUGUGGAGAAGAGAUAUGAGACUGAUUGCGAAUAAAUGUACACUUAGUUUAGUGCAGCAUGGAUCUACAAAGUGAAAUAUAUGUACCAAAAAUAUUAGUUUAUUCAAAACUAAGCCUUUUUCAGCACUGCAGUCAACAGAACAGUGAUAGUGACAAGAAUUGAGACUAUUUAAUACCUCAAACAAUGGAAAAAUACUUCCUGAGAUCAGUUGUCUACUACAUAGUUGAUACUGUAGGACAGGCUACAGAAAUAAGAAAACUGGUCUCUCUCAUCAGCAAUAGUGUGGCAAUUCUAAAAUUUCAACAUGCGGCCUACACAGCUAGCUCAUGUGGAGAAGAGAUAUGAGACUGAUUGCGAAUAAAUGUACACUUAGUUUAGUGCAGCAUGGAUCUACAAAGUGAAAUAUAUGUACCAAAAAUAUUAGUUUAUUCAAAACUAAGCCUUUUUCAGCACUGCAGUCAACAGAACAGUGAUAGUGACAAGAAUUGAGACUAUUUAAUACCUCAAACAAUGGAAAAAUACUUCCUGAGAUCAGUUGUCUACUACAUAGUUGAUACUGUAGGACAGGCUACAGAAAUAAGAAAACUGGUCUCUCUCAUCAGCAAUAGUGUGGCAAUUCUAAAAUUUCAACAUGCGGCCUACACAGCUAGCUCAUGUGGAGAAGAGAUAUGAGACUGAUUGCGAAUAAAUGUACACUUAGUUUAGUGCAGCAUGGAUCUACAAAGUGAAAUAUAUGUACCAAAAAUAUUAGUUUAUUCAAAACUAAGCCUUUUUCAGCACUGCAGUCAACAGAACAGUGAUAGUGACAAGAAUUGAGACUAUUUAAUACCUCAAACAAUGGAAAAAUACUUCCUGAGAUCAGUUGUCUACUACAUAGUUGAUACUGUAGGACAGGCUACAGAAAUAAGAAAACUGGUCUCUCUCAUCAGCAAUAGUGUGGCAAUUCUAAAAUUUCAACAUGCGGCCUACACAGCUAGCUCAUGUGGAGAAGAGAUAUGAGACUGAUUGCGAAUAAAUGUACACUUAGUUUAGUGCAGCAUGGAUCUACAAAGUGAAAUAUAUGUACCAAAAAUAUUAGUUUAUUCAAAACUAAGCCUUUUUCAGCACUGCAGUCAACAGAACAGUGAUAGUGACAAGAAUUGAGACUAUUUAAUACCUCAAACAAUGGAAAAAUACUUCCUGAGAUCAGUUGUAAGUGGUUUUAUAUCAUGCAUGAAACAAUAAACUAAAGUAUUUUUGAGAACUGUUGGAUAAUUCAUACACUGUACCAGAAAACUCACACAAUAAAAUUUAUUAAAUAUGAACACAAUC